CGUAGGUUGCGAGCGUUGUCCGGAAUCACUGGGCGUAAAGCGCACGCAGGCGGCUUUGGAAGUCCAAGGUGAAAGCCCUCGGCUCAACCGAGGGAGGCCCUUGGAAACUCCGGAGCUCGAAGGCGGGAGAGGCAGAUGGAAUUUCCGGUGUAGCGGUAAAAUGCGUAGAUACCGGAAGGAACACCAGUGGCGGAAGCGAUCUGCUGGCCCGCUCUUGACGCUCAGGUGCGAAAGCUAGGGGAGCGACCGGGAUUAGAUACCCCGUUAGUCCUAGCCGUAAACGAUGGUCACUAGGUGUUGUCGGUAUCGACCCCGGCAGUGCCGUAGCUAACGCAUUAAGUGACCCGCCUGGGGAGUACGACCGCAAGGUUA
This 372-nucleotide ribosomal RNA is filed under the name uncultured organism. RNAcentral describes it as "bacterial SSU rRNA". It matches the Rfam family "Bacterial small subunit ribosomal RNA", at positions 526 to 896 of the family's 1533-position model. The record is from RNAcentral.